CCCUUCGGGGAAGGAUUAGCGGCGAACGGGUGAGGAACACGUGAGGAAUCUGCCUUCAACACUGGGAUAACUCCGGGAAACCGGGGCUAAUACCGGAUACGAGACCUGCAGGCAUCUGCGGGUCUGGAAAGUUUUUCGGUUGAAGAUGACCUCGCGGCCUAUCAGCUUGUUGGUGAGGUAAUGGCUCACCAAGGCGACGACGGGUAGCCGGCCUGAGAGGGCGACCGGCCACACUGGGACUGAGACACGGCCCAGACUCCUACGGGAGGCAGCAGUGGGGAAUAUUGGGCAAUGGAGGGAACUCUGACCCAGCGACGCCGCGUGCGGGAUGAAGGCCUUCGGGUUGUAAACCGCUUUCAGCAAGGAAGAAGCGAAAGUGACGGUACUUGCAGAAGAAGCACCGGCUAACUAUGUGCCAGCAGCCGCGGUAAUACAUAGGGUGCAAGCGUUGUCCGGAAUUAUUGGGCGUAAAGAGCUCGUAGGUGGUUCGUCACGUCGGAUGUGAAAAUCUGGGGCUUAACCCCAGACCUGCAUUCGAUACGGGCGAGCUAGAGUGUGGUAGGGGAGACUGGAAUUCCUGGUGUAGCGGUGGAAUGCGCAGAUAUCAGGAGGAACACCAAUGGCGAAGGCAGGUCUCUGGGCCAUUACUGACACUGAGGAGCGAAAGCGUGGGGAGCGAACAGGAUUAGAUACCCUGGUAGUCCACGCCGUAAACGGUGGGCACUAGUUGUGGGAACCUUCCACGGUUUCUGCGACGCAGCUAACGCAUUAAGUGCCCCGCCUGGGGAGUAC
Molecule: ribosomal RNA, 792 nt
Filed under: uncultured organism
Description: bacterial SSU rRNA
Rfam family: Bacterial small subunit ribosomal RNA
Source: RNAcentral